AAAUUGAAGAGUUUGAUCAUGGCUCAGAUUGAACGCUGGCGGCAGGCCUAACACAUGCAAGUCGAGCGGAAACGAGUUAUCUGAACCUUCGGGGGACGAUAACGGCGUCGAGCGGCGGACGGGUGAGUAAUGCCUAGGAAAUUGCCCUGAUGUGGGGGAUAACCAUUGGAAACGAUGGCUAAUACCGCAUAA
Molecule: ribosomal RNA, 192 nt
Filed under: Vibrio alginolyticus
Lineage: Bacteria; Pseudomonadati; Pseudomonadota; Gammaproteobacteria; Vibrionales; Vibrionaceae
Also listed under: 2 other names
Description: partial 16S ribosomal RNA
Rfam family: Bacterial small subunit ribosomal RNA
Source: RNAcentral